GGAAAAGAACUCGAUGGCAUCCUUGGC
This 27-nucleotide non-coding RNA is filed under the name Mus musculus (house mouse). Lineage: Eukaryota; Metazoa; Chordata; Mammalia; Rodentia; Muridae. The record is from RNAcentral.